AUCCUGUCGGCGGUCAUAUGCUUUAUCCGGGGAUUCUUGCCAUGCAGGUUUAAAAACAAGACUUUAAAUGUCGAAUUUGCGAAUGGCUAAAUAGUUCAGUUACAAUCUAAGUGGUUGUGAAAUUCCUGAGGAUACAAAUAGGAAAUCUAUUGAUAAACCAUAGUAAAAGGGGUGUUAAAACCCUGAGUUUACGAGGAGAAGAAUCAUGUGGGGGCAACUCCACUCGGUUGAAUCAUCGUAAAGUCAUUGAAUCACGCUUAAAUGCAGUGAUGACGCACAUGAAUUUCUGAUCGAUUAGCUAUCGUUGUUUGGAUAGAGGCCAAACAAGGCUUUCAUCGGUACGAGGAAUGGAUGUUCGAUUUCGUAGAAUACGCCUGAGAGACGGCGAAUACUCUCAUGAGAGGCAGCAGGCUCGUAAAUUACCCAAUUACAACAAGUAGAGGUAGCGAAGGAAAAUAUGGGGGGUGGUAGGUUAUGCCUAUUACAUUCCCAAAUGGAAGCGAAUUAAAUAUGCCAUAGAAAGCAAGAAGAGGAAAAGUAUCGGUGCCAGCACCCGCGGUAAUUCCAGCUCUUCUAGCGUAUAUCGAAGUUGAUGCAGUUAAAAAGCUCGUAGUCGGAGUUGUUCGGAUAGAGGAUGAAAUACUGACCAUGGUGAAAGCUAUGGUUGGGACUCUACCGAUUCACUGGACUGUGUGUGUGCUGGGGUUCGCCCUGGAUUACUACCUGUCCUCUUUUACUUUGAGGAAAUUAGAGUGUUCAUAGCAGUCGUCUUGACUGAAUAGUUUAGCAUGGGAUAAUAGAAUAUGGCAAGUUGUUUAUUCUAUGGUUCUUAAAAGCAGUUUUUGCAAUGAUCAAUGGGAGUGGAUGGGGCUGCCUGUAUUACGGAGCUAGAGGUGAAAUUCUAUGAUUUCCGUAGGACAAACAAUUGCGAAAGCAUCCAGCCAGUACAUGUCCGUCGAUCAAGAACGAAGGGAGUGGUAUCGAAGAUGAUCAGAUACCGUCGUAGUCACUCCAGUAAACGAUGAUAACUCGGGGUGGGAGGGAUGUAACUUCAAACUUGCACUUUCCCGAACCGUAUGAGAAAUCAAAGUAUCUAUAUUUCCGGGGGGAGUAUGGCCGCAAGACUG
Molecule: ribosomal RNA, 1127 nt
Filed under: uncultured soil eukaryote
Lineage: Eukaryota
Description: partial small subunit ribosomal RNA
Rfam family: Eukaryotic small subunit ribosomal RNA
Source: RNAcentral